UGAAGUAACUGAUACCACGCUUCCAGGAAAAGCCACUAAGCAUAGGUUAUUAUAAAUCGUACUGUAAACCGACACAGGUGAUCAGGUAGAGAAUACUCAGGCGCUUGAGAGAACUCGGGUGAAGGAACUAGGCAAAAUAGCACCGUAACUUCGGGAGAAGGUGCGCCGGCGUAGAUUGUAGCCCUUUACGGGUGAAGGUUGAACCGGUCGAAGAUACCAGCUGGCUGCAACUGUUUAUUAAAAACACAGCACUCUGCAAACACGAAAGUGGACGUAUAGGGUGUGAUGCCUGCCCGGUGCUGGAAGGUUAAUUGAUGAUGUAAUCGAAAGAGAAGCUUCUGAUAGAAGCCCCAGUAAACGGCGGCCGUAACUAUAACGGUCCUAAGGUAGCGAAAUUCCUUGUCGGGUAAGUUCCGACCUGCACGAAUGGCAUAAUGAUGGCCAGGCUGUCUCCACCCGAGACUCAGUGAAAUUGAAAUCGCCGUGAAGAUGCGGUGUACCCGCGGCUAGACGGAAAGACCCCGUGAACCUUUACUAUAGCUUGACACUGAACCUUGAAUUUUAAUGUGUAGGAUAGGUGGGAGACUUAGAAGUAGCAACGCCAGUUGUUAUGGAGUCAACCUUGAAAUACCACCCUUUAACGUUUGAUGUUCUAACGAAGCACCCGAAACGGGUGUUCGGACAGUGUCUGGUGGGUAGUUUGACUGGGGCGGUCUCCUCCCAAAGAGUAACGGAGGAGUACGAAGGUUUGCUAAUCACGGUCGGACAUCGUGAGGUUAGUACAAUGGUAUAAGCAAGCUUGACUGCGAGACGGACAUGUCGAGCAGGUACGAAAGUAGGUCAUAGUGAUCCGGUGGUUCUGAAUGGAAGGGCCAUCGCUCAACGGAUAAAAGGUACUCCGGGGAUAACAGGCUGAUACCGCCCAAGAGUUCAUAUCGACGGCGGUGUUUGGCACCUCGAUGUCGGCUCAUCACAUCCUGGGGCUGAAGUAGGUCCCAAGGGUAUGGCUGUUCGCCAUUUAAAGUGGUACGCGAGCUGGGUUUAGAACGUCGUGAGACAGUUCGGUCCCUAUCUGCCGUGGGCGUUGGAGAAUUGAAAGGGGCUGCUCCUAGUACGAGAGGACCGGAGUGGACGCAUCACUGGUGUUCCAGUUGUUUCGCCAGAAGCAUUGCUGGGUAGCUACAUGCGGAAUAGAUAAGUGCUGAAAGCAUCUAAGCACGAAACUAGCCUUGAGAUGAGUUCUCCCAAUCUAUAAGAUUGUAAGGGUUGUUUGAGACUAAGACGUAGAUAGGCAGGGUGUGUAAGCGUUGUGAGACGUUGAGCUAACCUGUACUAAUUGCCCGAGAGACUUAACCAU
Molecule: ribosomal RNA, 1357 nt
Filed under: Pasteurella atlantica
Lineage: Bacteria; Pseudomonadati; Pseudomonadota; Gammaproteobacteria; Pasteurellales; Pasteurellaceae
Also listed under: 1 other name
Description: partial 23S ribosomal RNA
Rfam family: Bacterial large subunit ribosomal RNA
Source: RNAcentral